Molecule: non-coding RNA, 123 nt
Filed under: Gibbsiella quercinecans
Lineage: Bacteria; Pseudomonadati; Pseudomonadota; Gammaproteobacteria; Enterobacterales; Yersiniaceae
Description: Phenylalanine leader peptide
Rfam family: Phenylalanine leader peptide
Source: RNAcentral
GGCACACAAACCGUUUUUCUUUGCAUUCUUUUUUACCUUCCCCUGAUUGGGAGGCGUUUCGUCGUGUGACAAAGAAUGCAAAGACGAACAGCAAAGCCUCCUGAAACAGGGGGCUUUUUUUAU